RNAcentral lists this ribosomal RNA (301 nucleotides) under uncultured bacterium. RNAcentral describes it as "partial 16S ribosomal RNA". It matches the Rfam family "Bacterial small subunit ribosomal RNA", at positions 509 to 807 of the family's 1533-position model. The record is from RNAcentral.
CAGUAGCCGCGGUAAUACGUAGGUGGCAAGCGUUGUCCGGAAUCAUUGGGCGUAAAGGGCUCGCAGGCGGUUUCUUAAGUCUGAUGUGAAAGCCCCCGGCUCAACCGGGGAGGGUCAUUGGAAACUGGGAAACUUGAGUGCAGAAGAGGAGAGUGGAAUUCCACGUGUAGCGGUGAAAUGCGUAGAGAUGUGGAGGAACACCAGUGGCGAAGGCGACUCUCUGGUCUGUAACUGACGCUGAGGAGCGAAAGCGUGGGGAGCGAACAGGAUUAGAUACCCGUGUAGUCCCUGUCUCUUAUAC